GCCAGGCAUGGUGGCGCAUGCCUGUAAUCCCAGUUACUUGGGAGGCUGAGGCAGGAGAAUCACUUGAAUCCAGGAGAUGGAGGUUGCAGUGAGCCGAGAUCACACCAUUGCACUUCAGCCUGGGCAACAGGGUGAGACUCUGCCUUUA
This is an unclassified non-coding RNA of Pongo abelii (Sumatran orangutan), 148 nucleotides long. It matches the Rfam family "Metazoan signal recognition particle RNA". From Rfam's summary of the family: The signal recognition particle (SRP) is a universally conserved ribonucleoprotein. The record is from Ensembl. NCBI's taxonomy places the organism in Eukaryota, Metazoa, Chordata, Mammalia, Primates, Hominidae.